This 305-nucleotide ribosomal RNA is filed under the name uncultured bacterium. RNAcentral's name for it is "bacterial SSU rRNA". It matches the Rfam family "Bacterial small subunit ribosomal RNA", at positions 333 to 654 of the family's 1533-position model. The record is from RNAcentral.
GCAAACCUACGGGAGGCAGCAGUCGGGAAUAUUGCGCAAUGGAGGAAACUCUGACGCAGUGACGCCGCGUAUAGGAAGAAGGUUUUCGGAUUGUAAACUAUUGUCGAUAGGGAAGAAAAAAGACUGUACCUAUCAAGAAAGCUCCGGCUAACUACGUGCCAGCAGCCGCGGUAAUACGUAGGGGGCAAGCGUUAUCCGGAUUUACUGGGUGUAAAGGGAGCGUAGACGGUGCGCCAAGUCUGGAGUGAAAUGCCGCAGCUUAACUGCGGAACUGCUUUGGAAACUGGCGAACUAGAGGGCGGGAG